CUUCUUUCUCUCAUUUCCUCCAUCUGUUUAUCUUGUUUCUCUCUUUUCUCUCUCUAGAAUCUGAAAAAUCUCCCCAAUUUCUUCGGUCUCUUUGAUUAAACCCUAGAAAAAAUCAAAUUCCUCUAUUAAUUUGUGAUUAUCUCGCUUAGAUCUCUUUGAAAUAUCUCUGAAAUCUCUUUGAAAACUCGAUUAUGUGUUGAAUUUUUUCGUUUUCUUGAGUUUGGGUGUUGGAUCUUGUUUUCUGGGUUUUCUGGGUUGUGGAUCUCGUUUUCUGGGUAUGGAUCUUGUUUUCUGGACUUUCUAGGUUGAAGAUCUUGGUUUUGUGGGUUGAAGAUCUUGUUUUCUAGGUUGAUGAAUUCAAAGAAAACUGAGAGUUUUCAUGGGUUUUCUUCUCCCGGUGAUAACGUCGCCAAGACGGAGACGUACGAGUAAGAGUUCACCGAGGAACACUGUGAUCUUGGCGAGUAUUGUGAAGGCGAGCACAAUUACAACCGUGAAUACCUCCGGUAUUUACACCGGAUAUACGACUCUAUCUGUGUACAGAGACGUACGAGUAAGAGUGCACCGAGGAGCACUGUGAUCUUGGCGAGUAUUGUGAAGGCGAGCACAACUACAACCGUGAAUACCCCCAGUAUUUACACCGUAUAUACGACUCUAUCUAUGCUUCUCCUUCUACCGGAUCUGAAAAAACAGUGGAAGAAAAACCACUGCCGUCGCCGCCGUCCCCUGGUGGAGGGUCAAAAACCUUAAUUCCUGAUGUUGAGGUUGAUCAACCACCACCAAAGUACCCUGGUGGUGAAUCUGAAGGCGUGCAUGGGGGGGGGUGUCUGAAACCUUAACUUCUGGGAAACCACCGCAAUCAGUGGUGGUGAACGAUGGUCCCAAUGACGGUGGUGAAAAAUCGAAGCGUGCAUUCUCGAGGUCCUAACUGCUUCGGUGUUGCAUGUCUACAAAGGGGAGUUUUCUCUCUCCUCUCUUUCUCUCUCUAUUUCCGACUUUCCCCUUAAUUAGCUAGAUUAGUUAUUGUUGAAAUUGCAGGCCAACAAGAGAUCCACUAGUAAAAAAAGCAUCAAAGGUGGCUAGCCAUGGGUGGCCCUUAUACAAUAAGCGCAUCCUUUGAUGAAAAAUAAAUAAAAAAUCCAAAAUCGUACGUCCCGUGUUUUUGGAAGCGCAGCUUUUGACCAAAAAACUUGUUUUUGUCUCCACUUCUCUUCUUCCUUUCGCUUCUCUAUGCUUCCCUUCCCUUCACUUCACUUCACCGUAAUUGGUCGACUUCACCGGCGACACGAGCUCACCUUCUCUUCACUUCACCGGAAUUUUUCUUCCUUUUUCGUUGUUCUUCCUCUGCUCUUCUCACUCUUCCGGCAAUUCUCGACACUCACACACUCACACACACACUCGCACCGACAAUUCUCGACAAGACCACUACGCAACACCACCGGCAACGCCUGAGUUCGUCUCCCAUCCCAAGUGACCGGCCACCGGAGGCGAACUCGACGGUCGUUGAGCCACCUUCGACCACCGCACUCCUUUCUUCAACCUCUUCAUUCAGAUCUGGAAUUUGUCUUCAAAAGGUCUAACUGGAGAAAUAUUAAUCCACUUGAAUUUAUCGUAUAAUGCCCUUACAGGGGUAAUUCCUGAAUCUUUGGCUCAAUUUCCAUCCUUACAAGUCUUCGAUUUGAGAGAAAACCAGUGGCUCAAUUCCUGUUGCACUGAUGGACAAAGUUAACAGUAGCUCUUUGUCAUUGAGGUUUUCGUAUUUUCUAUAAGAUUCUUUAUAUUCUUUUCUUUAUGGAUGCAUUUCUUAAGGGUUCUAAUUUUUUCUGACUAGAAUAAAGAUAAAACCAGAUCUUUGCAUUUUCAGUUUGGAUACAGAUCUUUGUACUUCAAUUUCAUGCACUGGGAUUAAGAAAAAAAAAAGGCAUAAUGUUUUGCCUCCUUUGGUUGCAAGUACUUCAUUGUUUGUCAUUCUAGUUGUUG
Long non-coding RNA from Spinacia oleracea (spinach), 1980 nucleotides. RefSeq lists it as uncharacterized. The record is from RefSeq and is a predicted model, not a curated record. NCBI's taxonomy places the organism in Eukaryota, Viridiplantae, Streptophyta, Magnoliopsida, Caryophyllales, Amaranthaceae. The transcript is spliced from 5 exons.